Molecule: non-coding RNA, 693 nt
Organism: Pogona vitticeps (central bearded dragon)
Lineage: Eukaryota; Metazoa; Chordata; Lepidosauria; Squamata; Agamidae
Source: RefSeq, a predicted model, not a curated record
GGGGAAGGAGAAGGGGGGGGAGGAUUAGUUCUUCAGCCGGGAGACCAACGAGGGAGCUUCAGACCCACAGAGAGAAGACCGAGGGGUGGGAGCUGCGGAAAGAGACCCUCCCUUUGGGGUAGGGGGUCUUGGAUCGCUUGGAAGAGGAGAGAGAGAGGAUCAUUGCACCGCUUCUGCAGGAUCGAGGAGGCGACCACCCGUUCUGGCUGCUCCUGGUUUUUUCCUCCCUCCAUCCGAAUCGCGCUCCACUUCCUUGUUGGCGGAAAAGAGGGAAAAACAGAGAGAGAGAGCGAGAAAGAGAGAGAGAAGAAGGCAAACCUCAGAAGGAGGACUGUUUCUGUCUUUGGUUAUCUAGCUGUAUGAGUGUUAUCAAGCCAUCAUAAAGCUAGAUAACCGAAAGUAGAAAUGACUUCCAUCGCCUUCUGGAAGGAGAAGAGAAGAACGAGGAGGAAGAGGGGGAAAAAAAGGAAAAGAAAAGAAGAAGAAAAGUUUGAAGAACGGAAGACAAGAGCAUCAUCCUCAAAUCUCCAAGAAGACCAACAGACCGGACCACCCUUCGAAGGAGAUGCUCAGAUCUGCAAGAACAGAUAUGACUGAGAGUUCCUGACUUGGGAUGGAAUGAACCCAGGGGCCAAGAUGCUUCUCCUACAUCUCUCAGCAAGUCAGAAGAGGUGAGUCAAUGGGUGAAGGGAA